This 452-nucleotide ribosomal RNA is filed under the name uncultured bacterium. Its description in RNAcentral is "bacterial SSU rRNA". It matches the Rfam family "Bacterial small subunit ribosomal RNA", at positions 29 to 526 of the family's 1533-position model. The record is from RNAcentral.
AACGAACGCUGGCGGCAGGCCUAACACAUGCAAGUCGAGCGAGAACUUCGGUUCUAGCGGCGGACGGGUUAGUAACGCGUGGGAAUCUACCCAAUGGUACGGAAUAACUCAGGGAAACUUGAGCUAAUACCGUAUGUGCCCGAAAGGGGAAAGAUUUAUCGCCAUUGGAUGAGCCCGCGUCGGAUUAGCUAGUUGGUGGGGUAACGGCCCACCAAGGCGACGAUCCGUAGCUGGUCUGAGAGGAUGAUCAGCCACACUGGGACUGAGACACGGCCCAGACUCCUACGGGAGGCAGCAGUGGGGAAUAUUGGACAAUGGGCGCAAGCCUGAUCCAGCCAUGCCGCGUGAGUGAUGAAGGCCCUAGGGUUGUAAAGCUCUUUCGACGGGGACGAUAAUGACGGUACCCGUAGAAGAAGCCCCGGCUAACUUCGUGCCAGCAGCCGCAGUAAAAC